CCCAAUAGUUUUCACUAUAUCGAUCAGUAAUUAUUAGGAAAAACGUAAAUCCUAUCAAAUAACAUCUUAAUUAUAAUUAUCUAUUAAUUAGUUAAAAUUUAAUUUGACGUAAUAUAGAUAAGUUUUUAUUUUUUUUAAAAAUAGAUAACCGAACUUAAAGCUCUGAUUUUCAAAUUCAUGCCUGAGUUCCGCCAAGUGGUGCAAAAGCGCCAACCUAGCGUCCAUGCAAUGGUUUGGAAAACCCCCAGAAAAUAGGAACCCGACCUAUUAACUGUACAAUAUUUUAUGGAUUUCAACAGCAAUUUGCAAGAUUUCUUAAAUUAAGGUUAUUUCGCUUGUCACAGGACUGAACCAAUGACAUGAAAGGUGAGGAACAUAUAUCAAGUGAGAACCAGUUUGCUUGGUACAUUGUAGAAAACCAAUUGAAGAGAGGCUUUGCCUGUCUCAUUACAGUCAUCCCCCCUGCAACCCUCGAGGGGGGGGGGACGGAUAAGUGAAGAGAUGAAAUAAAUUCCUGCUUCUCCCCUUA
Molecule: long non-coding RNA, 529 nt
Organism: Parasteatoda tepidariorum (common house spider)
Lineage: Eukaryota; Metazoa; Arthropoda; Arachnida; Araneae; Theridiidae
Source: RefSeq, a predicted model, not a curated record